Cynocephalus volans (Philippine flying lemur) is the source of this 3629-nucleotide long non-coding RNA. RefSeq lists it as uncharacterized. The transcript has 3 exons. Lineage: Eukaryota; Metazoa; Chordata; Mammalia; Dermoptera; Cynocephalidae. The record is from RefSeq and is a predicted model, not a curated record.
GGGAGCGCCUCGGACGCGGUCCCCUGCCUUGCGGGGAUACCCUGGGUGGGGGAGGUGGAAAGUGGGUCUCGGGGGGAACCGAACCAGAGUCUGUGGACUAGCCUUUCCUAUGCUUGAAAUAAUUUUCAGGUCUCAAUGAACCAAAAAUGUAUUACAUCUACAGUUUCCGGUAUAUUAGCAUAAUCAGUAUCUUGUAGAUAUCAUAGUCACAUGAUGAUUUGUCAAUGCUCUAUGAGCAGAGAAUAUUUUCUGUGACUCUGUUUACUUUUGCCUAGUAAUUAGCCUAAUCUUUUUUUGUGGUUUCUCCCUGCCUGUAAAUAACAUCAACUCUAAUACAGGCCAGUAAUAUACAUAGAAGAAACUUCAGUCCCCCAGCCCGCUUUUUAAACUUCCUGUUUAAUUUUUUAAAAUUUUAUUCAAGUAGGACUAAAAAUCUUAAAACAAAUUUUUACUACACAAGAUGCUAAUGGUAUGUAGUAUAUGCCCUGUGCAAAAGUACAGGUUUUUUUCCUUAUUUAAAACUAAAAAUUACUUUUUUAGCCAAACUUUACAGCCUAAAAAGCAAUUACUCUUGUUAUAUUUCUUGAAAUCAAUCUUUCUUUUGCAUCUAUAAAUUUUUUAAACUCAUAAGGAGAAUACUUUUUCUGUUAAAUAAUUGGCUUAAGACAAAAUGGAUUUUAAUUUUUCUAAAGGUAGGCUUGAUAUAUUUAACAUAAAUAAAGGUUGUAAAUUAUAUUGGUGAAUGUUAUUUACAAUAUGAAAAUGUUCAUACACUGUUGAGUACUAAAGCUACUGAAAUCAUGUCUAAAUAAUAUGAAUAAAAAUAUAGCCUAACACAAUUUAUACAAGACUUUAAAAAAAACAUUUUCUUACUAACAUAAUCAGGCUUAACUAUAGGUCUAGCUGUUUCAGAAUAAUUAUAGACAUGUAUCAAUUUCUUGGUUUCUUAUAGGCGUGUGUGUACAUUAAAACGUUAUUUUUUGUUUGUUUGUUUUUGUUUGGUUUUUUUUGGUACAAGUCAAAAAUUACUCAUAUUACCUUGCUCCUAGAUAAUAAUCUGGUGUCUUUUUUUUUCUUUGUAUAUAUGUGAACAUAUGUGUAGGUACUGCUGUGGAUUGAUGUCGCCCCAAAACUUAGUUGCCACUGUAACAGUGUAAAGAGGGUGGGAAGUCCUAUUAUGGUAAUUGAAAGGUGGGGCCUUGAAGAGGUGAUUAGAUUGUAGGACCAUGGCAUAGUGAAUGGAUUAAUAAUGGUGGUCAAGGGCGUAGUUCUGAGGACUUUAAAAGAAGAGUACAUGACAGUCUCUUUCUCUCUGCCAAUUCUGCCAUGUGAGACCCCUGCAUCACUGUUGCCACCACCAAGGCCUUCACCAGCUGUGUUCCCUGGACUUUGAACUUCCCAGCCUCCAAAACUGCACUGAGGAGCAAACAGAGGCAGAAAAGUUCCUUAGACUUGACUUUUAAGGGAAGAUCAUGAUGGUACCACUGUCAAGGAGGCACCAAGAGCAAAAAAGAACGGACAUGAGGCACCAGAAAUAACAACGAUAAUACCAACCACGAAGUAGAGCAGCCAUCUGAAGACACAGGUGACCAUGAGGAUGAACGCUCUUUGCCGAAGCUGAUGGAGCAGAAGAUGGAAGGGUCCUGGGCACUGAUGGAAUCAUGGUGCCUUUACAGCCUACUUCACACUACCUGCCUCCAAACUUGUAGUCAUGGAAGAAAAAAUAACCCCCUCUUUGGUUAAACCACUGUAGUUGGAUUUCUGAUACAUGUGGACUUAAUCCUAACAAAAAGACCUGGUCAGCAGAUGGGACACAUACUGAGCAAAGAACACAAUUUCUAGAAUGUAACAGAUGCUCAGUGAAUGAAUCCAUGAGUAAAUGAAUGUAUCAGCAAUGGAAGACAGAAGUACCAGAUUACAGAAGGAAGUGCCCUUAGGAAAAUAUAAUAUUUACAGCUACCACUUACUUGCUGGGCAUGUACCACGUGCCCUUCAUUCUAUCAGUAAUCUUUGUAACUCAUGUAGAUUGGUAUAGUCGUGCCUGUUUCACAGAUCAGGAACUGAGGCUCAAGGAGUCUGAGCUAACUUUCCCAGGGAGUCAGAGCCAAUAUGUGGUGGGGCUAGGGUUUGAAUCCACAUCUGGGUGAUGUUGAAGUCUCUGUUUCUUCUCUUAGUCCAAGCUGCUAUUGUAAUUAAAUACUCACCGGGCACUUGGACCAAGGCCACUGGGUCGUUGGAGAAACUGGGGUGAAAUUGCCCCACAAUCCCUGAGCUGUAUGAGCACGACCAAUUCUUUCCUCUGUUUCUCAUUUCCUGAUUUGUAGAAAGGAUAUCAAUAGCACCUUCCUUACCGGCUUGUUGUAUUAAACGUGAGAUGCAUGUAUAACGUGUUCAGCAGAGCGCUACUAAAAGCUCAAACAAUAUUGACCAUCAGCAUUGUUAUCAUCUCUGACCUCCCAAAACCCUGCAACAAUCUAUAGCAAGUAUGAGCUCUGGCCUUGAUCGGAGUCUCCCAAGGAGGUAUCCGGCUGAGCAGGGGCCUUACAGCUGUUGGAGUCUGUGUGUUUUUUAACUUUAAAGGCCCAAUUCGGACUUCUCACUGCCUCUGUCGGCACCCCCUUAGAGCACAGGUCUCCGUGGGUCUCAGAAAUGCCCGUGAGAUUUCUCUUCCUUGCUUUAAGUUCUGAUACUUCGCUGAACUUGUUGUCAUUCCAAGCCGAGGGAGUGUCCCUCACAGCCCGAAGGCUCACCCCUUAAUCCCACGCAGGUGUCAGACAAUGCCUGAUGGGCGGAGGACAUUGUGCUCCUGUCUGGCGCUCUGCCUGUCCCACCUCAGCCCCAGGAGCAGUCGGGAGGUGGACGUGUCUGAGGCGAGAUGCGGGGGCGGAUUUGAGUCUGAGAUGCUAACCUGCCCAACCGAAGGUUUCACAUCUGUCUUGGCACACACACGGGUGCACGGAAUCUAGAGUCAGUUGCAGCUCUGAGCAGGUGGGGUGGGUCCUGGGGUGUUGAGUACAGGUGGGGCUAGAUGCCUGCCCUGUCACAGCAGGCCUGGCAGGUCCCCACAAUGCCCUGGGCCACUCAAGAGACAGUGUGGGAAAGAAACACAGUGUGGUCAGGAAACUGCUCUAAAAAGCCAGGUCUUUGGAAUCAGAGCUUGGAAUGCUAGAUCUUAUGCUUAUUAAUUGUGUCAUUUGAAGUACAUUACUCAGCCUCUCUCCGAGGCUAUUUUCUUAUCUGCAAUGUGGGAAAAAUAAUAGUGCCUAUAGUUGUUAUGAAUAUGAAAGGAGAUAAUUUUAAAAAGUUUUUAGCAGCAUUUGGAAAAUUGUUAGUGUUCAAUAAAUAUUAGCUAUGGUAAUCACAUUAGCAUCAAGUAUAUGUAUGGUAAAAGCUACAAAAGCUUCUAACAAUCAGUUAAAAACUGCUGUGUGCUCUGGGAGGGACACUGGAUUGUGGCUGUAUGUUCUAAUUUUUUACUGCUGCUUAUGUAUAUCCCCUGACGAUGUCAGGAUGAGCAGGCAUGGAUGGUAUCAUUUGGUGGUAAGAACAUAUCUAAUUCUUACAGUAUAGUGUGUCAGUGCCUGCUGUCUACUCAGCACAUGUUUGUUGUUGUGAAUAAAUAAAAUGUU